UGGGGCGUGGCCAAGUGGUAAGGCAACGGGUUUUGGUCCCGCUAUUCGGAGGUUCGAGUCCUUCCGUCCCAG
RNAcentral lists this transfer RNA (72 nucleotides) under Heliotropium arborescens. RNAcentral describes it as "tRNA-Gln". It matches the Rfam family "tRNA". From Rfam's summary of the family: Transfer RNA (tRNA) molecules are approximately 80 nucleotides in length. The record is from RNAcentral. RNAcentral also lists the same sequence under 28 other names. Lineage: Eukaryota; Viridiplantae; Streptophyta; Magnoliopsida; Boraginales; Heliotropiaceae.